GACGAACGCUGGCGGCGUGCUUAACACAUGCAAGUCGAACGGAAAGGCCAUGCUUUUGUGGGGUGCUCGAGUGGCGAACAGGUGAGUAACACGUGAGUAACCUGCCCUUGACUUUGGGAUAACUUCAGGAAACUGGGGCUAAUACCGGAUAGGAGCUCCUGCUGCAUGGUGGGGGUUGGAAAGUUUCGGCGGUUGGGGAUGGACUCGCGGCUUAUCAGCUUGUUGGUGGGGUAGUGGCUUACCAAGGCUUUGACGGGUAGCCGGCCUGAGAGGGUGACCGGCCACAUUGGGACUGAGAUACGGCCCAGACUCCUACGGGAGGCAGCAGUGGGGAAUAUUGCACAAUGGGCGGAAGCCUGAUGCAGCAACGCCGCGUGCGGGAUGACGGCCUUCGGGUUGUAAACCGCUUUCGCCUGUGACGAAGCGUGAGUGACGGUAAUGGGUAAAGAAGCACCGGCUAACUACGUG
This 468-nucleotide ribosomal RNA is filed under the name uncultured bacterium. Its description in RNAcentral is "partial 16S ribosomal RNA". It matches the Rfam family "Bacterial small subunit ribosomal RNA", at positions 28 to 507 of the family's 1533-position model. The record is from RNAcentral.